Molecule: small nuclear RNA, 332 nt
Filed under: Dasypus novemcinctus (nine-banded armadillo)
Lineage: Eukaryota; Metazoa; Chordata; Mammalia; Cingulata; Dasypodidae
Description: 7SK RNA (ENSDNOG00000027321.1)
Rfam family: 7SK RNA
About the family: 7SK was discovered as an abundant small nuclear RNA in the mid-70s but a possible function has only recently been suggested.
Source: RNAcentral
GGAUGUGAGGGCGAUCUGGCUGCGACAUCUGUCACCCCAUUGAUCUCCAGGGUUGAAGUGGCUGAUCUAGCUGUCUAAGUGGACGUCUCCCUCCUCCCUCUCCACUUGUGCGUCCCUCCCGCAGCUGCAGGCUUGGUCAGUCGAAGAAGGCGACCUUCUAGGUUAGCGGAGGAUCGUUCUUCCGUCAAGGUGUAUGAGUAGCUGCACUCUCCUGCUACAACCUCCAAACAAGCCCUCAAGAUUUCAAAAUGUUUGCUGCAGAUAUUUUUUAACACUAAAUUAUUUAUACUCAAAAAACUCAGUAAAUAAAUAUCAAAUAGAUUAAGAAUUUU